Mus caroli (Ryukyu mouse) is the source of this 719-nucleotide long non-coding RNA. RefSeq lists it as uncharacterized. NCBI's taxonomy places the organism in Eukaryota, Metazoa, Chordata, Mammalia, Rodentia, Muridae. The record is from RefSeq and is a predicted model, not a curated record.
UUUUCUCCUCUAGAACACACUGCAGUUUAAUUUCACUUCUUUCUACAGUGUGCGAUGAAGGUGGACUUAACUUUUAAAGGCAAAGAGACAAACCACUGCCAGGAUAAAUGAGAAGACGCAGAGGGGGCAGCUGGCACCACACAGGAGAGGAAAUGCUUUCUGGCUGGUUCCUAAUUUUCAUAUCCGGGUUAUCGUCAGAAAUCAUUUUCAGAGCAGCCAGAAACAUGUUAAUCUGAGGAAAAGCUCCACACCCCUACACAGACUUCCCUUUCCUGCCGACUGACUGAGCCAAGGAGGAAGAGUUGCUGAAGGUCAAAAGUUAUCAUCAAGUGAAUACCGAGCAAGAAUUCCGAACAAUAACUUAUGUGGAGGUGAUGUAAAAAUGCUGCUUACUGGCUUGAUCAUUGACUUAUGGUCAGCUAGUUUGCAUCUAUAGACCUGUCCUCCCUGCGAGGAAAUAGUGCCACUCACAAUGGAAUGAACCCUCCCACAUUAGUCAUCACUCAACACAGUCUCUCAUGAGCAUGGCCACAGACACAUCAGGUCUGGUAACCUCUCACUGAGAGUCUUUUAGAUGACUCUAUGGUAUGCCAAUUUAGCAGCUGAAGUUAUCUAGGACUCUUCACAAUAUUUUGCUAUAUGAACAUCAUACUAACGGCCAUCAUUGGGAAGAGAGGCCCCUUGGUCUUGUAAACUUUAUAUGCCCCAGUACAGGGGAA